Molecule: long non-coding RNA, 2802 nt
Organism: Sarcophilus harrisii (Tasmanian devil)
Lineage: Eukaryota; Metazoa; Chordata; Mammalia; Dasyuromorphia; Dasyuridae
Exons: 3
Source: RefSeq, a predicted model, not a curated record
UGCUCUGACUCCUUGCUCCAUCUCCCUGUGCUGCGGUCUGGGCUCCGCAGACUGUUCCCCCUCCUCGCCCUCCCCGACCCCCCCCCCAUUGAAGCAGACCUGUUCUGAAGUUCUUCCAAGGUAAGAAAGCCGAGGUUAAGAGGCAUUACAUGGCUUGCACAGCUAGUAAGUGUCUGAAGCAAAUCACUCUCCUGGUUCUGCUUACAGUAGUUGUCUCUGCAUCAGAUCCCACAAGCUUUCCCACUUUUCUCUGAAUUCUUCACAUUUAUUUAAAUCCUUCUUUGGCGGAUGAGGAGAAGAGAGAUGUGGUUCAACAGCCCUGACUUCCUCCAAUGCUAUCCUUCCUGAAGUAUGAGGUAAAUGGGAUAUUUAGGGAAGACUAGCACUUCUGUAUUAAAGGCUUUCUGAGCCCUUUCCAGGGCUUUUCAUCCACCUUUGGUGUUCACCUGGCACUCAAUUCUCACUUAUGGCUCCAUGAAGAAGGAUCAUACAGUUUCCUCAUCUUUAAAGAACCAUCUUGAUAGAGGAGCCAAACAAGGAUGAAGGCAAUCUACAGGCCUUAAAUAAAUUGGUAAGUUGGGGUGGGUAGCUACCCCAAACAUGUAAAGACUUCUCUAACAAAAUGGGUAGAUGAGAAAAAUGUAUUUCACUGACCCCAAAGAUGGCUGAAGCAGAUGUUGUAGAGCAUUUGGUCAGACAUCAAAAACACCAAGUUCAUCCACUGCUUCCUUGGCCAUCACCACUCAUCUUGAUCUUUGUCUUCAAUGACCCUGGAAGAGAAAACAAGACUUAUGGCUUCAUGCAACUCUGCCUGACUGCAAGUCAUCAUCUGUUAUGUCACUGGUCUAAUUCAAAAACAAAGGACAAACAGCCACUGAAGACCCAGAAAAGAAAGUUCUCCCCCCAAAGUGUUAUCUGUGUCAAAUGUUUCAACACAUUGAAAGAAUAUAAUUUUAUCAAUGAAAAAACUAGUUUCAUAUUUAAUAAGAUUUAUUAAUUUGAUAUAUUUUAGUUCAGUAUAGUUUUAUUAGUAAUAUCUCAUUUCUUACUUGGUUGCACUACUUUGGGACUUCUUGGUCUGUUUUCUCUACCAUAUUCCUGGAUGUUCAACAUUGGGUAGCUUGUAAGAUCUUAUCAGCCUAAGCUUUCCAUCUCAUCACUACCCUCUGUCUCUCUGAUUUGAGAAGGCAGACUUGAAUUCCAAACCUUUAUUUAAGGAUAGAGUUCAGUUUAUACAUCUCAUUUCUCAUGCGACUGCUACUUUGGGACUUCUCUGAGUUCUUUAACUUUUCCCACCUUUUCAACUUUCUUUCAUAUCUUGUCUCCUCCAAUUAGACUAUAAGCUUGUUGAGGGCCCUUUAAAAUUUGCAAAUCAUUUUCCUCACAAUAAUCCUAUGUACUAACUCGUAAAAUAUUAUUGCACUCAUUUUGCAGAAGGAAAAAGUGAGACUAGAAGAGGUGAAGUGUUUUUCCAAGUAACUUGGCAACUAAGUAUGUAGGACCAGAUUUGAAUCCAGAUUUUCUUGACUCCAGUCCAUCAUUAUGCCUCCUUAGCUCUUUCCUGCCCUAUGAAGUGAUGUAUGUCAUGAAAGUGGGGCAUGAAACAGAGGCUGGAGAAGACAGCUCUGCAUUUCAAAUCAGAAGACCUGAGGAAAAGUCCCAGCUCCUUCAUUUACUUGCCAUAGUAAAAGUCAUUAAAUAUUUCCAAAUUUCAGUAAAAUAGAUCUGAGAUGACUUGCCAUUCCUAUUGCAAAUAAGUACAAAUUAGUCAAAAUGAUUAAGAAGGAAAGCCACUAACAAUUAGGGUAAUUCUUGGGUAAAAGAUGGCGCUUGAGAUGAAUUUUGAAGGAUGAAGGGGGUAAAAAUAAAUUGAGGCAGAAUUAAGUACAAAAGACAUUCCAGUGUAAAGGACAGUUUGGCUGUUUUUUAAAUAAAUCAGCAAAAUUAUAUUAAUGAUAUGCCAACUACUGUGGUAGGCACAACAGACAUAAUGACUUAGCCCUCAGGGAUCUUGCAAUGAGGAAAAGGGAUGGAUGAAUGAUCUUAAGAAUGAACCUCUGUUUGGGUAAAACAAAUGAUAGGGGAGCCACAUUAAAAAUUCAUGAAAAUUAAGAAGCUAGCAAGAGUACUUGGGAAGUAUGAAGGAGAAAGGAACCAAGGAGGAGAGUGGAUAGAGCUCUGUCCACAUCACAAUUUUACCUGGGGCUGGUCUUGAUAAGUCUGUCUGGGGCAAUGGAAAGAAUAAAUAGCCUCUAUUCUAACCCCAUUCAUCCUCUCCAAAGACAUGUUAAUUCAUGCCAAUUUGGGGGGGGAGGUUUCUGAAAGAAUUCUUUCAUGUUUGAUUGAUGAGCUCUAACCAGGGACUAGUUCCUGUUUGUCUUUUUUCUCAGACAAGGCCUCAGGAUACUUCAAGUACUGGCAGAUGGUGAACGUGUUCUGAACCAAGUAUCCAAGCUUUAUUGAAGUUGCUAUAGGAUGCUUUCUUUAUUUCAUCUGGGAAGGCUUGUGGGGACAGGAAAGUUAUUUUCCUAUCUCAUAUCCCUCCUCUCCUACUCCCCAACUCCCAAUCAAGGAAGGAGGCCUGAGAGCUGAGUUUCAGAAGAGCCCAAUCAAUAUUCUUGAGGCAAGCUAGUUAGGUUAAUUCCCUCUAACCCAUUCAAAAGAGGAAAGAGAUGGGAGAACAGAUAGAUGGGAGAACAGCUAACGGUGACUAGUGAGUUCAUUGGGGGGGACCAAUAAGAUACCAAAGAUACCCAAAUGUGCCCUAUCCUUGCAUUUGUCUGUAACAAAUAUAAAUAUGAA